RNAcentral lists this unclassified non-coding RNA (513 nucleotides) under Hevea brasiliensis (rubber tree). Lineage: Eukaryota; Viridiplantae; Streptophyta; Magnoliopsida; Malpighiales; Euphorbiaceae. The record is from RNAcentral.
UUGAAUCAAAGAGAAAGAAAUCAAGGCUUUUAUUAGGCAUGAACUCAUAUAUGAGCAAUUUUUCCUCUCCCUCUAUGGUACAUCCCAAGAGCCUCACAAGGUUCCGGUGUUGGAGUUUUGCAAUUAGUAUGAUUUCAUUCUUCAACUCCAGCAACCCAUGAAAUGACUUCUUUGACAACCUUUUAACAGCUAUUUCCUUCCCGUCUGCUAACACACCCUUGUAAACAGUGCCAAACCCGCCACGCCCAAGUUUAUUUGAAUCCGAAAAGUUGUCUGUUGCUUCUCUUAUAGUAGUUAGAUCCAUAACAGGAAGCUCCACGGAAUUCGGCAAAUUACCUUCUUCUGUCAUACUAGGGCUUGCCAAGUCCUGUAACAAUUCGGGCAGGUCUUUUCCUUUUUCCUGUUCUUUUCCUCUUUUCCGCUGCAAAUAGACAAGACCAGACCCAACGAGAAUUGCUAUUAGCACCGUUGGUAUUCCCACAACAAGCAGGAUCAUCUUCCGGUUAUCUCCUG